UACGUAGGGUGCGAGCGUUGUCCGGAAUUAUUGGGCGUAAAGAGCUCGUAGGCGGUGUGUCACGUCGGCCGUGAAAACCUGCAGCUUAACUGUGGGCGUGCGGUCGAUACGGGCAUCACUGGAGUUCGGCAGGGGAGACUGGAAUUCCUGGUGUAGCGGUGAAAUGCGCAGAUAUCAGGAGGAACACCGGUGGCGAAGGCGGGUCUCUGGGGCCGAUACUGACGCUGAGGAGCGAAAGCGUGGGGGAGCGAACAGG
This 256-nucleotide ribosomal RNA is filed under the name uncultured bacterium. RNAcentral describes it as "partial 16S ribosomal RNA". It matches the Rfam family "Bacterial small subunit ribosomal RNA", at positions 524 to 776 of the family's 1533-position model. The record is from RNAcentral.